AUUGAACGCUGGCGGCAGGCCUAACACAUGCAAGUCGAACGGUAACAGGAAGAAGCUUGCUUCUUUGCUGACGAGUGGCGGACGGGUGAGUAAUGUCUGGGAAACUGCCUGAUGGAGGGGGAUAACUACUGGAAACGGUAGCUAAUACCGCAUAACGUCGCAAGACCAAAGAGGGGGACCUUCGGGCCUCUUGCCAUCGGAUGUGCCCAGAUGGGAUUAGCUAGUAGGUGGGGUAACGGCUCACCUAGGGGACGAUCCCUAGCUGGUCUGAGAGGAUGACCAGCCACACUGGAACUGAGACACGGUCCAGACUCCUACGGGAGGCAGCAGUGGGGAAUAGUGCACAAUGGGCGCAAGCCUGAUGCAGCCAUGCCGCGUGUAUGAAGAAGGCCUUCGGGUUGUAAAGUACUUUCAGCGGGGAGGAAGGGAGUAAAGUUAAUACCUUGGCUCAUUGACGUUACCCGCAGAAGAAGCACCGGCUAACUCCGUG
This 490-nucleotide ribosomal RNA is filed under the name uncultured bacterium. Its description in RNAcentral is "partial 16S ribosomal RNA". It matches the Rfam family "Bacterial small subunit ribosomal RNA", at positions 30 to 507 of the family's 1533-position model. The record is from RNAcentral.